AUGGUGUCUCUGUCAGAAACAAUGCAGAUAGGCAGACCAUGUAGUUUAAUGACAUUGUCCAGUAAAGCUUCAAACACAGUUUGUACUGAAAAGGGAUGUGCAAGGGGUAUGAAGUGUGAGUAUUUGGUCAGUCUGUCCACCACUACUAGAAUGACCACUUUUCCCUAUGAAUUUGGUAAGGCAGUGAUGAAAUCCAUUGUUAUGUGUGCCCAGGCCAUAUCAGGAACAGGGAGUGGUUGCAACAGUCCAGGAGGAUGGAUGUGUUCCACCUUGUUCAAUUGGCAAACAAGACAUUGGCUGACAAAGUCCUCUAUAUGUUUCUUCAUGUUGGGCCAAUAG
This 339-nucleotide ribosomal RNA is filed under the name Triticum aestivum (bread wheat). RNAcentral's name for it is "partial small subunit ribosomal RNA". The record is from RNAcentral. Lineage: Eukaryota; Viridiplantae; Streptophyta; Magnoliopsida; Poales; Poaceae.